RNAcentral lists this ribosomal RNA (264 nucleotides) under uncultured archaeon. RNAcentral describes it as "partial 16S ribosomal RNA". It matches the Rfam family "Archaeal small subunit ribosomal RNA", at positions 717 to 982 of the family's 1478-position model. The record is from RNAcentral.
AGACGUCUACAUUAGAUACCCGCGUAGUCCUAGCCGUAAACGAUACUCGCUAGGUGUCGGCCACGGUGCGACCGUUGUCGGUGCCGUAGGGAAACCGUGAAACGUGCCGCCUGGGAAGUACGGUCGCAAGGCUGAAACUUAAAGGAAUUGCGGGGGAGCACCACAACGGGUGGAGCCUGCGGUUUAAUUGGACUCAACGCCGGGAAGCUCACCGGAUAAGACAGCGGAAUGAUUGCCGGGCUGAAGACCCUGCAUGACCAGCUG